This is a long non-coding RNA of Gopherus flavomarginatus (Mexican gopher tortoise), 1418 nucleotides long. RefSeq lists it as uncharacterized. The record is from RefSeq and is a predicted model, not a curated record. Lineage: Eukaryota; Metazoa; Chordata; Testudines; Testudinidae. The transcript has 4 exons.
UUAAAAAAAUCUAUAUACUUAAUCUAGUGGUCGGCUAAUCAACUGACUAGCUAAGAGUGAUUUCAGCAAAGGAGGAAGAGUCUGCAGGGAUUCCAGCUGAAGAUUUCUGCAAGCGAGUGGAGAGGACCUACUCAGAAAGUUUGUUUCAGACCAUGCUACCUGCUACAGUUUGCGCUCUGGGCCCCACAUUAAUUUGUUGAUGAGCCUAGCUGACCACCUCUGCAUUCCAUUCCACUCUAGCCAGGCACUGAUUCAUUGAAAUGAGUGAAAUGAGUAGGGAAAGCCCCAGGGCUGUGCUGGAUCUUGCAAGUGCAGAAGCUGAAAGGAGACUUUCAAAACGCCAGGAGGAGAAAGAAGAGAAAAUCAGCACAGGAAAAGGGGAACUGUGGACAAAGCCUCACUCUCUAAAGAAGAUGAUAAACACUGCAGAAAGAAUAGCACCAUGGGAGGAAUGUUUAAAACAUAAAGUUCCAUAAGGAUUGGAAUUAACCAGCUGGAGAAGCACAGAUCUGCAGAAAAUACAGUGACAGCAACAGGACCACUUUCAAGCAGGAUUCAGCGAGAACAGUCAGUGAGGGAAAGUUAGUAGGAAGCUGCAUGACAUGCAUGACUAAAACAGGAUAAGGGAGGUGAGGAAGGGAACAGAGUUUCUACAGAAGCAGAAGCAGGGAGAAAGUGGCAGAAAACUAAAAAUGGGCCGUGAAGUUAUCCUGCAAAGAUAAAUCUGCACCAAGCUAACUCUAAUGCAUUGGUGGUAUAACAAAAAGUCAACAGCAAUUCACAAUGGUCUAUUGUUUAACUAUAAAAGGCAUUCCACUCCUUCUCCCCAUUGAUAAAACUCUUUAUUUACCUCAUGUUGGUGAGGAGCAAGUGGAUUCAGAGGGUUAAAAGUCUAUUACUGAGCUUUUUAUAUAAAGUCAAAAUCUCUGGACUUUAGCCAGUUCAACGGUGGACUGCAGAAUUUUGCCCAUUUUGUGGAGUAGGAAUUCAGGGUUUGUAGUUGUGAUACUAAAAUAAGGAUCCUUGGAGCAUCUACCUUUUAGUUUUAGGGGUAUCCUACACCAGAAAUAUAUUUUGAACACAUAACUGGAUGUUAAAGAAAACAAUAGACUAUUGACAAUAUUAGGCAACUAAGAAUCAAGGCUUGCUCUGUGAUUUUUAUCCUAGAGACAGUACCUGCCCAAGCGCUUCAGAGGUUGUAAUGAUCACAACCUCCAGUAGGGAAACCCUGCAAAUGGAACAUAAGCAAUAUUUAUUUUGUAGAACUAAUAUUAUUUUAUAUUAUAUAAAUUAAUGGCGGUUUCCUUUAGAUCCCAAGUAUCAGCUUUAAUGCUUGAUCUAUCUGAAAGUCCUUAGCCUUGAAAUCAAAUGAGGGAUGGAUUUAUAUAAUGCCUAACAGGUGUUUUGAUAGUCCACUG